RNAcentral lists this ribosomal RNA (448 nucleotides) under uncultured bacterium. RNAcentral's name for it is "partial 16S ribosomal RNA". It matches the Rfam family "Bacterial small subunit ribosomal RNA", at positions 29 to 523 of the family's 1533-position model. The record is from RNAcentral.
AACGAACACUGGCGGCAUGCCUAACACAUGCAAGUCGAACGAGACCUUCGGGUCUAGUGGCGCACGGGUGCGUAACGCGUGGGAAUCUACCCUUGGGUUCGGAAUAACAGUUAGAAAUGACUGCUAAUACCGGACGAUGACGUAAGUCCAAAGAUUUAUCGCCCAAGGAUGAGCCCGCGUAAGAUUAGCUUGUUGGUGGGGUAAUGGCCUACCAAGGCGACGAUCUUUAGCUGGUCUGAGAGGAUGAUCAGCCACACUGGGACUGAGACACGGCCCAGACUCCUACGGGAGGCAGCAGUGGGGAAUAUUGGACAAUGGGCGAAAGCCUGAUCAGCAAUGCCGCGUGAGUGAUGAAGGCCUUAGGGUUGUAAAGCUCUUUUACCAGGGAUGAUAAUGACAGUACCUGGAGAAUAAGCUCCGGCUAACUCCGUGCCAGCCGCCGCCGUAA